This 399-nucleotide unclassified non-coding RNA is filed under the name uncultured Glomus. RNAcentral describes it as "SSU rRNA". It matches the Rfam family "Eukaryotic small subunit ribosomal RNA", at positions 569 to 972 of the family's 1831-position model. The record is from RNAcentral. Lineage: Eukaryota; Fungi; Glomeromycota; Glomeromycetes; Glomerales; Glomeraceae.
AGCAGCCGCGGUAAUUCCAGCUCCAAUAGCGUAUAUUAAAGUUGUUGCAGUUAAAAAGCUCGUAGUUGAAUUUCGAGACCGGUUUAUUGGUCGUGCUUUUGUACGUACUGGUAUUAUUGGUUUCUCCUUUCUGACGAAUCUUAAUGCCAUUAAUUUGGUGUUUUGGGGAAUCAGGACUGUUACUUUGAAAAAAUUAGAGUGUUUAAAGCAGGCUCACGCUUGAAUACAUUAGCAUGGAAUAACGGAAUAGGACGUUUGAUUCUAUUUUGUUGGUUUCUAGGAUCGACGUUAAUGAUUAAUAGGGAUAGUUGGGGGCAUUAGUAUUCAAUUGUCAGAGGUGAAAUUCUUGGAUUUAUUGAAGACUAACUACUGCGAAAGCAUUUGCCAAGGAUGUUUUCA